Xyrichtys novacula (pearly razorfish) is the source of this 222-nucleotide non-coding RNA. Lineage: Eukaryota; Metazoa; Chordata; Actinopteri; Labriformes; Labridae. The record is from the annotation of a GenBank genome assembly.
GUUGUUGUUGUUACCGGUGUUGUGCCGAGAAACGCAUGCCCACCGAAAAUUGUAUGCACCUCGCAAAAACACACACUGCUUAUAGUAGAGUGGUCCACGGAAAUGUACAAUAUAAUUCCCAUACAAUUCUAAUUUGUGGGGCUAAACACUAAUGAGUGAUGUUCCGAAAGUAAUUCUCGGCGGGCAUACAUUUCUCGGCACAACACCGGCAGUGCCAGCGAC